UGGCUCAGUUGGUAGAGCAUGGUGUUUGCAACGCCAGGGUUGUGGGUUCGCAUUCCCAC
Salmo salar (Atlantic salmon) is the source of this 59-nucleotide non-coding RNA. The record is from Rfam. Lineage: Eukaryota; Metazoa; Chordata; Actinopteri; Salmoniformes; Salmonidae.